CCUACGGGUGGCUGCAGUGGGGAAUAUUGGACAAUGGGCGAAAGCCUGAUCCAGCCAUGCCGCGUGUGUGAAGAAGGCCUUCGGGUUGUAAAGCACUUUCAGUGGGGAAGAAAGCCUUGGGGCUACUACCCUCGAGGAAGGACAUCACCCACAGAAGAAGCACCGGCUAACUCCGUGCCAGCAGCCGCGGUAAUACGGAGGGUGCGAGCGUUAAUCGGAAUUACUGGGCGUAAAGCGCGCGUAGGCGGUCUGAUAAGCCGGUUGUGAAAGCCCCGGGCUCAACCUGGGAACGGCAUCCGGAACUGUCAGGCUAGAGUGCAGGAGAGGAAGGUAGAAUUCCCGGUGUAGCGGUGAAAUGCGUAGAGAUCGGGAGGAAUACCAGUGGCGAAGGCGGCCUUCUGGACUGACACUGACGCUGAGGUGCGAAAGCGUGGGUAGCAAACAGGAUUAGAUACCCUAGUAGUC
RNAcentral lists this ribosomal RNA (465 nucleotides) under Vreelandella stevensii. Its description in RNAcentral is "partial 16S ribosomal RNA". It matches the Rfam family "Bacterial small subunit ribosomal RNA", at positions 338 to 795 of the family's 1533-position model. The record is from RNAcentral. Lineage: Bacteria; Pseudomonadati; Pseudomonadota; Gammaproteobacteria; Oceanospirillales; Halomonadaceae.